UUUACCUUCGGGUGGGGAAUAACGUCUCGAAAGAGACGCUAAUACCGCAUGAUGCAGCGGCACCACAUGGUGACAGUUGUUAAAGCGGGGGAUCGCAAGACCUCGCGCCUGAAGAGAAGCCCGCGGCAGAUUAGCUAGUUGGUAAGGUAAUGGCUUACCAAGGCAACGAUCUGUAGCCGGCCUGAGGGGGCGGUCGGCCACACUGACACUGAAUAACGGGUCAG
RNAcentral lists this ribosomal RNA (224 nucleotides) under uncultured bacterium. RNAcentral describes it as "partial 16S ribosomal RNA". It matches the Rfam family "Bacterial small subunit ribosomal RNA", at positions 125 to 334 of the family's 1533-position model. The record is from RNAcentral.